RNAcentral lists this ribosomal RNA (253 nucleotides) under uncultured bacterium. Its description in RNAcentral is "partial 16S ribosomal RNA". It matches the Rfam family "Bacterial small subunit ribosomal RNA", at positions 524 to 776 of the family's 1533-position model. The record is from RNAcentral.
UACGUAGGGUGCGAGCGUUGUCCGGAAUUAUUGGGCGUAAAGGGCUCGUAGGCGGUUUGUCGCGUCGGGAGUGAAAACACCGGGCUUAACUCGGUGCUUGCUUUCGAUACGGGCAGACUAGAGGCAUGCAGGGGAGAACGGAAUUCCUGGUGUAGCGGUGAAAUGCGCAGAUACCAGGAGGAACACCGGUGGCGAAGGCGGUUCUCUGGGCAUGUCCUGACGCUGAGGAGCGAAAGCGUGGGGAGCGAACAGG